GGUGGUGGCAGGCUUUGUGGGCUUGCCAUGCUCCAUGUACAUAGGAACGAUACAGCUGACAAAGAACGUGUGUGUGUUGAAGCUUUUCAGAAUACAGGUCACAGGAGAAUCGGAGAGUUUUAGUAGACCAACAGAGAUUAACUUUAAUAUUGAAACUUGUUUUGUUACUUUUGUUAGGCUAGCUAAUAAAAACAAAACACA
This 201-nucleotide long non-coding RNA is filed under the name Mytilus galloprovincialis (Mediterranean mussel). Lineage: Eukaryota; Metazoa; Mollusca; Bivalvia; Mytilida; Mytilidae. The record is from RNAcentral.